UACGAAGGGAGCUAGCGUUGUUCGGAAUUACUGGGCGUAAAGGGUGCGUAGGUGGCGCAAUAAGUCAGGUGUGAAAGCCCUGGGCUCAACCCGGGAAUUGCACUUGAUACUAUCGCGCUUGAAUUCGGGAGAGGUAAGCGGAAUUCCCAGUGUAGAGGUGAAAUUCGUAGAUAUUGGGAAGAACACCCGUGGCGAAGGCGGCUUACUGGACCGACAUUGACACUGAGGCACGAAAGUGUGGGGAGCAAACAGG
Molecule: ribosomal RNA, 253 nt
Filed under: uncultured bacterium
Lineage: Bacteria
Description: partial 16S ribosomal RNA
Rfam family: Bacterial small subunit ribosomal RNA
Source: RNAcentral